ACGAACGCUGGCGGCGUGCUUAACACAUGCAAGUCGAACGAUGAAGCCCAGCUUGCUGGGUGGAUUAGUGGCGAACGGGUGAGUAACACGUGAGUAACCUGCCCUUGACUCUGGGAUAAGCGCUGGAAACGGCGUCUAAUACCGGAUAUGACAACCGACGGCAUCGUCUGGUUGUGGAAAGAAUUUUGGUCAAGGAUGGACUCGCGGCCUAUCAGCUUGUUGGUGAGGUAAUGGCUCACCAAGGCGACGACGGGUAGCCG
This 260-nucleotide ribosomal RNA is filed under the name Okibacterium sp. ISO662_OTU3668. Its description in RNAcentral is "partial 16S ribosomal RNA". It matches the Rfam family "Bacterial small subunit ribosomal RNA", at positions 29 to 289 of the family's 1533-position model. The record is from RNAcentral. Lineage: Bacteria; Bacillati; Actinomycetota; Actinomycetes; Micrococcales; Microbacteriaceae.